Molecule: ribosomal RNA, 466 nt
Filed under: uncultured bacterium
Lineage: Bacteria
Description: partial 16S ribosomal RNA
Rfam family: Bacterial small subunit ribosomal RNA
Source: RNAcentral
GACGAACGCUGGCGGCGUGCUUAACACAUGCAAGUCGAACGGUAAGGCUCCAGCUUGCUGGGGUACACGAGUGGCGAACGGGUGAGUAACACGUGGGUGACCUGCCCUGCACUUCGGGAUAAGCCUGGGAAACUGGGUCUAAUACCGGAUAGGACCAUGGUUUGGAUACUGUGGUGGAAAGUUUUUUCGGUGUGGGAUGGGCCCGCGGCCUAUCAGCUUGUUGGUGGGGUAAUGGCCUACCAAGGCGGCGACGGGUAGCCGGCCUGAGAGGGUGGACGGCCACAUUGGGACUGAGACACGGCCCAGACUCCUACGGGAGGCAGCAGUGGGGAAUAUUGCACAAUGGGCGGAAGCCUGAUGCAGCGACGCCGCGUGGGGGAUGACGGCCUUCGGGUUGUAAACUCCUUUCACCAUCGACGAAGGGUUUCUGACGGUAGAUGGAGAAGAAGCACCGGCUAACUACGUG